CUUCCCAAACUUCUCCCACGUUCAUAAUAUGAAGCAAUUCUCCAGUUCUGGUAGGACGUUGUUCCACUGUUUUCUCACUCAGCCACACGGAUGGAUAUUGGGGGCUUUGAAGUUGUGUUCCGAAUAGAAGAAUCCACUUUGUGUCUUGUGACGUAUAUUAAUUCUGCUUCUUUUUUCCUUCCUCCUAUUUGAAGUGCUGCAGUGUGGAGAUCAGAGAUCCUGAGGGAAAGAAGAACCCAUCAAAUCCCCCUCGGGAGCUAUUUUUCAGGAAGAUCCCUUGGGAAGAUCCAAGACAGGACCCCUCAGGAGAGAAACAAAGAAUGAAGAUUUCUGGUUUUUAUGAGGGAGAUCAAACAGCUGUUGAACCUCCAAAUCAAGAGGGUCUUGUGUCCUUCGAGGAGGUGGCUGUGUAUUUCUCUGAGGAGGAAUGGUCUCAGCUGGAUCCUGACCAGAAAGCGCUGCAUUCGGAAGUCAUGCUUGAAAACCAUAGGAACGUGGUCUCUCU
Molecule: non-coding RNA, 505 nt
Organism: Notechis scutatus (mainland tiger snake)
Lineage: Eukaryota; Metazoa; Chordata; Lepidosauria; Squamata; Elapidae
Source: RefSeq, a predicted model, not a curated record